Molecule: ribosomal RNA, 515 nt
Filed under: uncultured bacterium
Lineage: Bacteria
Description: partial 16S ribosomal RNA
Rfam family: Bacterial small subunit ribosomal RNA
Source: RNAcentral
GAUGAACGCUGGCGGCGUGCCUAAUACAUGCAAGUCGAGCGAAUGGAUUAAGAGCUUGCUCUUAUGAAGUUAGCGGCGGACGGGUGAGUAACACGUGGGUAACCUGCCCAUAAGACUGGGAUAACUCCGGGAAACCGGGGCUAAUACCGGAUAACAUUUUGAACCGCAUGGUUCGAAAUUGAAAGGCGGCUUCGGCUGUCACUUAUGGAUGGACCCGCGUCGCAUUAGCUAGUUGGUGAGGUAACGGCUCACCAAGGCAAGGAUGCGUAGCCGACCUGAGAGGGUGAUCGGCCACACGUGGACUGAGACCGUGCCCAGACUCCGACGGGAGGCAGCAGUAGGGAAUCUUCCGCAAUGGACGAAAGUCUGACGGAGCAACGCCGCGUGAGUGAUAAAGGCUUUCGGGUCGUAAAACUCUGUUGUUAGGGAAGAACAAGUGCUAGUUGAAUAAGCUAGCACCUUGACGGUACCUAACCAGAAAGCCACGGCUAACUACGUGCCAGCCGCCGCCGUAA